UGAGAUUUCAAAUUCUAUUUUGUUCUGCCCGACUUUUUGAGGAGAAAGACACCCUAGGACUUCUCCAAAUCAUAUAACUGAAUUGCUAAUCAAUCCCCAUGGAUAUUUCAUCAAAUUAACAAGUAUUAACACUAGAUUAACAUCUACAUCCUCUUAUUAUUUAAAAUCAACUCGAGAUCGUUUGAAGAGAAAUUUUUGGGUUUCGAGAGGUGGUAAUGAAGAAGAGCUGGUACACGUAAAUCGAACGGGCUAGGAGUACUUGUUGCUUUCGAGUUGUUGGUGCUUCCAAUAUGGCCCCUUUAGCAUUGUUUCGCUAGAGUCGGGUUUGAGGCGUAACGGCCAAAACUUACUUCAAUGGAAAGCUCUUUACAAGAGCUAUCAAUUUAUGUAAGAGUUGGGCCGCUUAUCAGUGGCCGGAUUUUGGUCAACCGGCGUUUGACCGGUCGGAGCUGUCUGGAGAUUCCUUCUGUCUUUUCUUUUGAGUUCGUUAGGUUAGACUGGUCCUAAUUUGUUGUUAUUUUGAUAACCAACGCUCAUGGCUAAUCUAGUUCCCCAGGAUAAUCCAGUGGCUCGGUUUUCCUUGUAAAUUAGAAGAUCGCUGGAUUUUUUGAAAGCUAAAAUUGGCUAGUACUGUAAGGGAUGUCACUAUAAUGUUUAUUCAUGGUUAGUGUAGCAAUGAACUUGAACACUUCCGAUUGCUGGCUAUGUAUGUAAUAAACUGAAUAAUUUCCUAGUUCAUUCUUGCUGAAAUCAAAAGUGAUUGUUGGGCCCU
Molecule: long non-coding RNA, 772 nt
Organism: Nicotiana attenuata
Lineage: Eukaryota; Viridiplantae; Streptophyta; Magnoliopsida; Solanales; Solanaceae
Exons: 4
Source: RefSeq, a predicted model, not a curated record